AAGAUAUAUAAAUUAUGAGUUCAGCAGUACAAAUUGAACCAAGGGAGAACAGAAAGUAGAGGGGGGCUGAACUAAGGAAGCACACGGAGAAAAUUACAAACUAGAAACAAUGAAUAACAGAUAUUUACACCUUUCUUUUACCACCUAUUUAUCAAAUUAUUUGCUAAAGCCUCCUCCAAUAUGUCGAAUUUUUUCCCAACUUGGCAACACUCGUCGCAGCAGAGGCUCAAUGAAUAAGUAGCACAAGACCUCAAUGAGCUGAUAUGUUUCAGAGAUGUCAACAGUCCAUUUUUCCAGCUGACCACCUCAACUUAUGUUUGUAAGCAUUUCCGUUUCUCAAUCUUGCAAAUGUCUCAGAAAAUUAUCUUGUCGGGGUGAUUUCAUCAGCAUAGAUUGAAACACAAGAAUCCGCUGCUCCAGCAGCAAGCAGCACUUGAUAGGGAUGGAAGGUAAGACAUCUGACUGAACCUAUUUUCUGAGCCAUGAAGGUGGACAGAUAUCUUAUGGUGCCUAAUUGCUCACCUUCCAGGUUGAAGACUUUGAUUAGCUGCUUAGCUGAACCACUUGCUAUAAGGGGUGCAUGACGAUGAACAGCUAGUGCCGUUAGCGAUCCCCUAUGAGCAUCAAUUGUUAAGUAAGCUUCCUUGAGAUUUCUCAUAUCAAGGAACUGAAUAUCACCAGCUUGAGAGGCACUGACGAUCUUUGCCGGUUCAAGUCCAGGUUGAAAGCCGAUCCCGACUACUCUCUCUACUCUUUGGGUGUGCGGUCGUGAUGCACAAACAAGCAGUUCAGGCAUUCGAAUAUCAAAUAGUUUGACACAUCCAUCCACAAAGCCAGCAGCAAAGUGUCCUGCGUGAACUUGAGAAGCUGACAAUGCUGAGAUGCUACAAUCUGAGGAUGUUGGAAUUGUAUUAACAAGUUGUUCUUUGUCAAGAUCCCAAGCCAUGAUUGACGAAACUUCAGCAGAUGAAAACAGAUAUCCAGACUGCUGCUGCCAAUCCACAACAGCGCUCACACUACGGACACCAGGUCUGUGACCUUGAAUGGAAGAGAAUGCAGAGACUAGUCUUUGUCGCCCUCUUACAGUAUAGUCUUUCCAGAUCCGGAUGUUCCCAUCACUUGAAGCAACAAGGAGCAAACUCUCAUCUAGCUCAUUGACAAGACACAGCUUUGAAAUUCCUUUAUCAGGGUAACUGUGGUUAUCAAAGCUGUUAAGAAGCGUAGCCUCCUCGUAAUUCCAUAUCCUGAUUCUUUCACUCUCAUCUGCAGCAAUAACAAUAGGUGAGAAGGGCUGCAGCAAAGCAGUUUUGGUGCCAGUCUCAAACUUAGUAUCCCAACUAGCAAUUUGAUUGUGUAGUUUGCUUACAGAAGAGUGUUGGCACUUAGCAAUGAGGUCAAGGGCCAUCUUUUCCUUCUUUUCCCUUCUGUCAACCAUCUCUUCACUAUCAUCAGCUGCAGUAAGAAGUGGCUUUGAGAAGUGUCCACAACUCCAGUUGUAGAUAGUUGAUUGGGGAAGAAAACUGCGUUCUGAAGGUCCAGAUGAUCCAGCAGACCCCAAUAAUGGGUCAGCUAAUCCCGAGUCUUGAGAGUGCA
RNAcentral lists this unclassified non-coding RNA (1593 nucleotides) under Hevea brasiliensis (rubber tree). The record is from RNAcentral. Lineage: Eukaryota; Viridiplantae; Streptophyta; Magnoliopsida; Malpighiales; Euphorbiaceae.